Boleophthalmus pectinirostris (great blue-spotted mudskipper) is the source of this 416-nucleotide long non-coding RNA. RefSeq lists it as uncharacterized. The transcript has 3 exons. Lineage: Eukaryota; Metazoa; Chordata; Actinopteri; Gobiiformes; Gobiidae. The record is from RefSeq and is a predicted model, not a curated record.
CUGGCUUAAAAUAUGACUAUUUUGGAUAUUUUGGUUCAGAGGCUUUGAGACUAAGAAAUAAGCAAUAUAAAUAUGCUUGGACAUGAAAUAAAGGCACAAGAGAAAGUUUGACUUUAAAAAAAUUAUCUUGUUUUUGCAUCUUUUUGGAUAGCGUGUGCAUAUUUCCUUCAAAAUGUUUAUAACCAGAGAUGUGGAGAUUCAAGCUCUCCUCCGUCAUCCUGACCUGUUAGGGUGGAGUUUUUCACAUUUCCUUCAGGGACAUGAGGACAUGGACAGGAGAAUCCUUCAGCUUCUGACUGGUUCAAAUGUAUGUGUGAAACCACUGAGAAGGAUGGACGCCCACAUGACUGAAUCACACAAGGGCAAUCCCAGGGUUACCACUUCUGUUAUUGAAGAGGGGACUUUUAAGACUGCAG